GAUGAACGCUGGCGGCGUGCCUAAUACAUGCAAGUCGAGCGAACAGACGAGGAGCUUGCUCCUCUGACGUUAGCGGCGGACGGGUGAGUAACACGUGGAUAACCUACCUAUAAGACUGGGAUAACUUCGGGAAACCGGAGCUAAUACCGGAUAAUAUAUUGAACCGCAUGGUUCAUUAGUGAAAGACGGUUUUGCUGUCACUUAUAGAUGGAUCCGCGCCGCAUUAGCUAGUUGUUAAGGUAACGGCUUACCAAGGCAACGAUGCGUAGCCGACCUGAGAGGGGGAUAGGCAACACUGGACCUGAGCAACGGCCAAGCUCCCUACGGGAGGCAGAAGUAGGGAAUCUUCAGCAAUGGGCGAAAGCCUGACGAAGCAACGCGGCGGGGGUGAUGAAGGUCUGCGGAUCGUAAAACUCUGUUAUUAGGGAAGAACAAAUGUGUAAGUAACUAUGCACGUCUUGAGGGUACCUAAGAAGAAAGCCACGCUAAACUACGU
RNAcentral lists this ribosomal RNA (496 nucleotides) under uncultured bacterium. RNAcentral's name for it is "partial 16S ribosomal RNA". It matches the Rfam family "Bacterial small subunit ribosomal RNA", at positions 28 to 506 of the family's 1533-position model. The record is from RNAcentral.